GCGGCUGUAGCUCAAUGGUAGAGCGUCGCCCUCCCAAGGCGAUGAUGCCGGUUCGAUUCCGGUCAGCCGCUCCA
RNAcentral lists this transfer RNA (74 nucleotides) under Sediminicurvatus halobius. RNAcentral describes it as "Spiribacter halobius tRNA-Gly". It matches the Rfam family "tRNA". From Rfam's summary of the family: Transfer RNA (tRNA) molecules are approximately 80 nucleotides in length. Lineage: Bacteria; Pseudomonadati; Pseudomonadota; Gammaproteobacteria; Chromatiales; Ectothiorhodospiraceae. The record is from RNAcentral.